GAUGAACGCUGGCGGUAUGCUUAACACAUGCAAGUCGAACGGACUCUUCGGAGUUAGUGGCGGACGGGUGAGUAACGCGUGAGAAUCUGGCUUUGGGUUCGGGACACCCACUGGAAACGGUGGCUAAUACCGGAUGUGCCGAGAGGUAAAAGAGAAAUUGCCUGAAGAUGAGCUCGCGUCUGAUUAGCUAGUUGGUGAGGUAAAGGCUCACCAAGGCAGCGAUCAGUAGCUGGUCUGAGAGGAUGACCAGCCACACUGGGACUGAGACACGGCCCAGACUCCUACGGGAGGAAGCAGUGGGGAAUUUUCCGCAAUGGGCGAAAGCCUGACGGAGCAAUACCGCGUGAGGGAAGAAGGCUCUUGGGUUGUAAACCUCUUUUCUUAGGGAAGAACAAAAUGACGGUACCUAAGGAAUCAGCAUCGGCUAACUCCGUG
RNAcentral lists this ribosomal RNA (435 nucleotides) under uncultured bacterium. Its description in RNAcentral is "partial 16S ribosomal RNA". It matches the Rfam family "Bacterial small subunit ribosomal RNA", at positions 28 to 507 of the family's 1533-position model. The record is from RNAcentral.